AAAAAAGUAGAGCUCUACCGCCAUCUAGCGGACAAUAAAGUCUGAAUCACUAUUUUGAAAACCGCCGUUUGCUAAUCCUUUGUUGUCGUGGCUGUAUGGUGCCAUUACAUCCUUGUCCGCCAGGUGUCGCUAGCGACUCUGUCAGCCGGUGACAUCACGGUUACUCUCUGCUGUGAUUGGUUGCCAGCGGCACCAGAGCUCGUGCAAGCCGUGUUGUAAACAGGUUAGUCUCGUUUCUUUUUACGUGAUGUUGCGGCAGACUUUCGAAAUGUUGUAAAGCUGCGUACGACGUAAAGAGCGCGACAUGUCAGAAAGACACAGGUCGCUGCCUGCAUGGAUGGCAAAGAAAGAGGAGAAAAGCCAAGAAAAGAAGCCACUGAAGAGAAAGCGGAAAGCUGCCAGGUCUGCUUUCUACUGUAUGAACGAGCAAGAGCUGGUAGAAGCAGCUGUUUCCUAUGUCACAAACGGCUCAUGUGAGGAGCUGACACUCGUGACUCACCAGCAGGGUAAACAAAAAGCAGUGGACACAGUUAAGAAGAUGGGGAAAUCCACAAAUUCACAGCUGACAGUGAAUCCAGUUGCUGCAGAGGAGUCCCCAUCAGACUGCACUGAAGAUCUGGAUUUGACGUAUGUUUCAGAAUCAGACUUGGACAUUACAGCGGUAGAAACAUUACCGUACACCAGCAGCCGGCAGCAUCAAACAUCUGAGCGUCGGCAUUCAGGAACAGUUGAGGAUUUGGAGGCUGGGAAGACGCAUGAAUCACCCCAGACAGCAGCUGAGGACAGCGACGCCUUACGCCUUUAACCGAGAAAAGGCAACGAAGCCAAUCUGGUUCAGGAAGUUAAGUGGUUUCGCGCUGGAGCGCGCGCCGUGGACGCGGAGAAUGUGCGCCUCAGCAGUCUGUGCAGGGCUCAGCUCCUCUCUGCUGUGCGCACUUCGAGCGGUUUAACAAGCAGUCUCCUCCACGAGAGGGAUCAUCAGCAACUUUAUAUAUAUAGACCUGCUGCAACGCCAAAAGUACAAAGGCUCAUUAUGGGAAACAGGCUCAGCAGAAGGCGAGAAACCCCAGCCAGCACCCAUGAAACUGUGGCUGUUGAAGAGAAGACCACAAAGGAGCCAGGAAACGACUCUGCAGUUACACAGACUCACGAAGCCGCCAAAACGGAGGAUCUAGAUGUGGUGGUGGGAGAGCCAGUGACACCAGUGGCAUGUUUACCCAAUGAAGAAUGUGUCGCGGAUUUUAAAGAAGCAGAGGCUUCCAGUGCCUCAGCCCCGAAAAAUGAUACAGAACCAGCACCUAUGGUAAAGGAAGCCCCAGUCCAACCUGAACCUCAGGUCUCAGCCAGCACACCUUCACCUUCAGAACCAGCUGCUGAAGCUGAGCUUGCUCCUGACUCCGAACCAGACAUUGAGAUAGUCCAGCCCAGCUCAGAGCCAGCACCACCCUCAGUGGAGCAUCUGGAGCAGCAGCCGGAUCAACUAACACAAGAUUCUCUCCAUGAACCGGUUCUUUCUUCGCCCCCUUUGACCAACUCUGGUUCCCCUGAUUUCGCGCCCUCCCAAGAUCCCAUCCCUGUCCCAGUCAAUCCAGACGAGCCAUCAGACCUCCCAGCUGGUGAGGAAUGCCAAGAUGGGGAUGAGGCUGCUGACAUUUCCAUGCUUGAGCCAGAGAAGCCAGCAGAAGCGCAUCUGGAAAAGCCGAUGGAGGUGGAGGCUGAAGAGAGUUUGGAGAAGCUUGGAAGUGAUGUCAACGAGGAAAGCAUUAGUGAAACCCCAAAGAACUCGGAGCUGAGAGGAAAUGACCUUGGCAGUGACCUCAUUCCAAGAGAUGUCAAUGUCCCUGAUGACACUCCCAUCACAGACAUGAGCACAUCUACUGAGCUGAUGUGAAUCCAUCAGAGGAUUCAUGAAGGAAGUGAAACCCUCUAAAUCUAAAUUGUGUAUGGAUCUAAAAACAGUGGUUUGUCUCACCCAAGUGCCCACAUUAAUGCCAAUAGAGCCUUUUUUUUAAUGUUAAAUGAACCAAAGGUGCCAAAAAGCAGUGUGUGUGUACAUGUGUGUGUUGUGAUGGAAAGAAGAGUGACCUAGAAUGCUUCAUUAUUAGACAGAUCUUCAUCUGUGAAGAUCCAGGCAGAAAUUAAAUGUGUCUUGUAUAUAUUUGAGCAGUUUUCUUUUUUGUUUAAAAAAAAAAUAGCAACAAAAAGAAAAAUGAAAAGAAGGUUAAUGAAAUAAAUGUAAAGGACAAAGAAUGCAACUUCAGCUGGAAACGGCAUGUGCAUUCCACAACUGGUUACGAGUAUCUACUACACAUUUAUGAAUUAACAUAGUAAUACUUGGCAUUUUCAAUAAUCCACUAAUCAGAAUGAUUGUCAUCUUAUGUAAUUUUAAAUAAAAUAAAUGAAUUUUCAAUGUCAAGUAGUUGCCUUUGACAAUAAACUGGCAUUUACACAUCAAAAUCUUGCUCCCUGUUUUUCCAAAGGUAUAUUUUAUAGUAUCUGGUCACACUGAAGAUUCUGGGAAUAGAUUUUUGUGGGGGAAGAAAAAUAGGAGAUACUCUGGGCAUGUUUGACAAACUACUACAUGUACGGGGCACUCUGCAAAUGGCAAUAGAAAUCUAUGUAGCAAAUCCCAGUUCAUUUAAGAGGGACUGGAGCUUCUCACUGUCUCGUGGGAGAGAGGACAUCAGAGGAGGGAGGAGAAAGGGGGGAGACUAGGCCACAUUCUUUCCAGAGGAAGGAGAUUUUCAUGGGGCCUGGGUCAAAAGUCUUCAGUGUGACUGCAUUUCAGUCCAUGAGAAAUCUGUUCCUCACAUGCCUCCCCUUGCUUUCACCCCUUGCUUUCACUACAUUGCUAUCCCAAAAUCUUGUCUGAGUAGUCAGGACACUGGUAUGAGAGGCCACUCCUAAAUGCCUUAAAACUUUAAUCUACAGUCAUGUGGAAAGAAAGCACACGCUUUUGCAAUUCUGUGGUUUAAUUUAUCAGGUCAUAAAACAUAACCUAUAACUGGGUAACCACAACCUCAGAUAUUACAUCAUAACAAGCUUAAACCACAAUGUAGAAGCAGUGUGUGAAAAGCAGCUGACAGGUGCUGCUAACCAAAUACAUUUGAUUAAUUGAUUAAUUAGCAAAUGUUUGCACCUCUAUAAAAGCAGAGAUUUUGGCAUAGUGCUGGUUUGGAGCAUUGCCCGUUUUUUCAUGAGUGGAAAACAUUUAAGACUGUUUCCAAUCUUCCCAGCUGUGGAUAUCUCCACGUCCACAGUGGUGGAGGGGUAAAUAUUUGGGCUCAGUUUGCAGCUACAGGAUCCGGACACCUUGCAGCCAUUAAGUCGACAGUGAACUCCUCUGUACAUCAGUCUAGAGUCACAUGUAAGGCCAUGUAUCAGUCUUUUAUAUCCUCGACAAUAAUGUGAAAGACUGAUAGUCAUACAGAAAAUGAUUACUUCAUGUUAUUGUUAUUAAAGGUGGUUUUACAAGCUACAUGGGUGCAGUUAGUUUUUCCACAUACCACUUCUGCAGUUUAGCUUUUUGUUAAAUAAAUAUAGUGUAAUAUGUUGUGUUGUUUUUCGUUGUAGGUUGUUGUAUUUUUUAGAAAUUUUAGAACAUGGUAAGGACUGGAUGAUUUUUUAAAAAUAUCCUGAUAUGCAAAAGCUUAGAAUUGAAAGAGGGUGUACUUGCAAAUGUAAAUAAGCAAUAAUUUGCACAUUUACUUUGCCAAUUC
Long non-coding RNA from Astatotilapia calliptera (eastern happy), 3719 nucleotides. NCBI's taxonomy places the organism in Eukaryota, Metazoa, Chordata, Actinopteri, Cichliformes, Cichlidae. The record is from Ensembl.